Molecule: ribosomal RNA, 253 nt
Filed under: uncultured bacterium
Lineage: Bacteria
Description: partial 16S ribosomal RNA
Rfam family: Bacterial small subunit ribosomal RNA
Source: RNAcentral
UACAGAGGUGGCAAGCGUUGUUCGGAAUUACUGGGCGUAAAGGGCUCGUAGGCGGCCAACUAAGUCAGACGUGAAAUCCCUCGGCUUAACCGGGGAACUGCAUCUGAUACUGGAUGGCUUGAGUUCGGGAGAGGGAUGCGGAAUUCCAGGUGUAGCGGUGAAAUGCGUAGAUAUCUGGAGGAACACCGGUGGCGAAGGCGGCAUCCUGGACCGACACUGACGCUGAGACGCGAAAGCGUGGGGAGCAAACAGG